CAAUAGCGUAUAUUAAAGUUGUUGCAGUUAAAAAGCUCGUAGUUGGAUUUGUGGUGUACGGUGUGUUCCGGGCACUUGUUGUCUGAGUAACCUGCUGUUGCCAUCCUUGGGUGGAACCUGUGUGGCAUUAGGUUGUCGUGCAGGGGAUGCCCAUCAUUUACUGUGAAAAAAUUAGAGUGUUCAAAGCAGGCUUAUGCCGUUGAAUAUAUUAGCAUGGAAUAAUGAGAUAGGACUUUUUUGCUAUUUUGUUGGUUUGCGCAAGAAGGUAAUGAUUAAUAGGGACAGUUGGGGGUAUUCGUAUUCCAUUGUCAGAGGUGAAAUUCUUGGAUUUUUGGAAGACGAACUACUGCGAAAGCAUUUACCAAGGAUGUUUUCAUUAA
This 380-nucleotide ribosomal RNA is filed under the name uncultured eukaryote. RNAcentral's name for it is "partial 18S ribosomal RNA". It matches the Rfam family "Eukaryotic small subunit ribosomal RNA", at positions 592 to 976 of the family's 1831-position model. The record is from RNAcentral.